Molecule: long non-coding RNA, 767 nt
Organism: Selaginella moellendorffii
Lineage: Eukaryota; Viridiplantae; Streptophyta; Lycopodiopsida; Selaginellales; Selaginellaceae
Exons: 2
Source: RefSeq, a predicted model, not a curated record
UCCUGGCGGUAGCGAUUGCCAUUUCUUUGAAAAUAUUCUUACAUCUGAGCUGCUCGGAACGAUCAAAUUCAAAACUCAUUCGCUAUAAUGCCGGCCCGGAUUUAUUCUUUCCUUGUGACGCAGCACACUCCAAUUCUCGUUGUCUCCCAGCUCACACAAGACUAGAAGAAUAUAGCGGGCCACACGCUGGAGCCAUGGUAGUUUCCACUCCGAAUAUACCAUAUUCGUCAUCUAAAAGCCCCAGCCCCAGCGCCUCUCUUCUCUCCCUGGUUUUGCUUUCUCAGUGCUGUCGCUGCUUUCUUUUUAUCCCAAGUUUUGCUUUCUCAGUGCGCUGGUUUCCUUUAGCUUUUCUCCCCCUAUCUGGCUGGCCGAAUUCCAUGCCCUUGGGCGUCCCAUCGCACCACUAGAGACUACCUGUAGCGCCUUUCGAGCUCCCUCCAUUCGCUGCAUUGUCAAAGAUUGGAUCGAAGAGUGAUCACCCAAGAACAUGGCAGAACGCCGCCGCACGUGAAAAAAAUAUUUUAUGGUCCGUAAGGCCGUAAGGUAUAGGUCCGUAAGGUACGUGGAGGUAGAGAUUUUGUAGCUUUCAUUGGAGAGAUGAGAUCAUCCCUCAAAGAAAAUCAGUCUGGCUGGGAGCACAAGAACAAGAGAAGUAGGAGCCAAGGCAGCCAACCAAAACGGCCAAGGCAGCUUGAUGUGAGGUUUCGCUACCGCUUCUACCUGUGAAUUCUUUCCUCAUGUUGGAAUAGAACUUGAGAUUCCUCUUC